UGUAGGUGUGAGAUAUUAAUGACAAGACCAUGAUAUUAUCCCAGGACAGAGGCCACUUAUGUGAAUAGAAAUGGGGGGAUGGGACUUGGGUCAGUGAGUGAGACCAGAAGUAAAACACUUGGGCCCCUCGUGGCAAAGAGAUAAAAGUAGAAAUGACCGAGGAUUCCAUUGUGUAACAACUAUAUACUAUUUCUAGCAUUCAUAUCAGGCCUCUGAACUGGGACCCCCUGUAUAGUCUGAACUACAACUCCCGGCAUCCUACUCCACUGCUGCUGGGAUACUGGGAGUUGUACUAGAGCUGAGGGAGCAGUGAGCAAUAACCUCAUUACUACAUAAAUACUGGCAAUAGUGAACUCUCCUCACACAAAGGAAUCACAAGUCUGUGUCAUUUCUCAACAUGGGACCCAAUCCUUUGUGACUUGCCUGGGGGAGGGGCCCUUGUGUCCCUGAGCUUGACAUCAGCUGUGUGACAGGAAAGAGAUGGAACUAACCAGCAUGCACUGCUCUCAUCCACUCUCAAUUCUACUCAGUAACAAGCAGAAAACAGUCAAACUCAUCAGACACAUCCCUUUAACUGACACUCAAAUCCCAUUUGUCUCUAAUCUGGUGCCCACGUGUGACUGACCCUGCACUGCCAGCUCUCCUGAUUAGCAUCUGCCCACCAGCAACAUGGCCGUGUCUGUGCAGUAGGGACAACUCUGACACACAAUCAUUUCAUUGGUCUCAAACCAAACAAGCUCAUUGGCUAAAGGGCGGAGCUGCCUUACCAGGGGGAGGAGUGAGAGGUAUUUGUGCUUCUUUCUGUACCCAGACCUGAUAGAGGGAAAGGCUGAACCUUCCUGUAACUACUUCCUGUUUCCUGUGUCCCUGGGCUGCUGGGAAAUAGAUUUUCCCUCCUCCUGCUGCUGCUGUAAUGUCUGUGAGAGAGAAGUUCUCUCCUCAGUAACAGUGAUUGUCAGACACUAGAGAGUUUGCUAAAUACACAGUUCAUAGGGCUUCUGAGGCACAAUCCUGUGGUGAUAUUUGUUUGUUUAAAUGCACUGAUAGAAUAGUUCUAUGAAACAACAGGGAGACAUUGUUUUGCUUUCCCACAUCCCCUCAUCCUAGUUAAUGGCUGCAGCCUCUCUUUAUGGCUUUGCUGCAAGUUUGGAUGAUCCCAUUCCCCAGGAGAGGCGUGUGUGGGGCCUGUCAGCAGAACAAGGGACAGACGUUAUAGAGGGCCUCUCCUAUUCAUAUUCCUGAUAAAUCUGCAGCGGGUUCCUGUACACGGCAUUUCAGAUGGAAUGAAAUAAAGGGAGGCUGUUGGCUCACUGUGGCUGCUCAUGUGCCAGGGAUAUAGUGAGACUGUAACUCUCUAUUGCUGAAUACAGAGGUGCAAGGAAUUCCUUGUUAAAGGGCUUUCCUGGAUCCACAACCAGAAAUUACAGGGAAUGGAAGAACUGAACACUGAAAGUUUAGCAGUACCAGUUAGUGAUGGGGAUGAUCUAUAUUCCCAUUCAGCUGUACAGAAUAUGGAAAAACUUAUAAUAAAAGCAGUGGCCUCUCUAACCAUAAGAAACACCACACGGGAGAAAUCCUAUUUAUGUACAGACUGUGGGAAGUUGUUUUAUGUAAAGAGACACAUUCAAAGUCACCAGAAAAUUCACCUGCUCAGAAUGUGGAAACAAUUGUCUUUAAUGUUUGAACUUGGAAAGAACACAGGAGAGAAACCAUCUACAUGUACAGACUGUGGGAAAUCAUUCACUCAAAAGCCCACCUUCAUAGUCACCAGAAAUGUCAUGCUGGGGAGAAACCAUUCACCUGUUUAGAAUGUGGGUUUUUGCUGGAUGACGCCGCUCUGUGGAGUUGGAUUUAAAUCAAUCACAUAUUGAUAGCGCUCAGAAGGAAAAAGGAGCAAAAGUUUUUUGGAAGCCUUGAUAAAGUGAUCACACUGAUUAGACCUUCUAAAAGGAAAGAAUACGCACGAGAGGGAGAAAUUGAGGGUAUUUUUGCUUAAAAGGGUGGUUCACCUUUAAGCUAACUUUCAAUAUGGUAUAGAAUCGCCAAUUCAA
Xenopus laevis (African clawed frog) is the source of this 2051-nucleotide long non-coding RNA. RefSeq lists it as uncharacterized. Lineage: Eukaryota; Metazoa; Chordata; Amphibia; Anura; Pipidae. The record is from RefSeq and is a predicted model, not a curated record. The transcript has 5 exons.